AGCGGGCUCCGCGGGCAGAGCCGCACGCCGCCGGGCUCUGGCCGAGCAGGGAGGGCAGCGGUUAACUUUUGGGGUUUUGGUGAGCUCAGAGGAGCUGCCCUUGGCACGGCCCGCGGCUGCCGUUCCAGGGCUGCUGGCUCCGAGGGUUUUACUGGAAAACCUCGAGGCGCGGGAGCAGCCAGCUGGUGAUGGAGCGGCCGGGCGAGGACAAACCCGCGCUCUGUUUUUCCCGGUCCUUUCUGCUGUAGGACAAACACGGGCCUGCGAGGCUGCUGGGGAGGGCGAAACCCCGCGGGGUUUUGGGGUCAGACCCUUCCUUUUUGCACAUUUACCCCUCCUGCGUCCCUGCCCGAGUGGCUGCACCCAGGACCGGCGUGGGGGAUGCUGAAAAACCCCAGGCUCUGCCUCCUGGUGGGAAUUUUUCAGCAGUUCCCUGGGCUCCUCGUGAUGCUGAUUGUUGGGUUGGGGCUUUCUAUCACAUCUGCCGCGGCACGGAGCACGGAGCCUUGCCUUUUCCUUCCCAUGUGGCCAGGGGAUGGUUGCAGGCUUCUGGUCACCGCUGACAGAGGGGAUGAAUUAAUGCCAGGGGUUUAUGGAGCCAGCUGUGCUCUGAACCCACAUCGGGAGCCGGCUGGGUGACGAGGAGCUCAUCCCAUGCAGCUCCUCGCUCCCUCUCCGAAGCAGGACGCAGUAAUUCUGGGCACGUUUCUGGAGCAAACAUUUCACCUAGGUGAGCUCCUGUUCGCUAAAGAGGCUCCAAUUAACUUCCAUUAGCGAAGGAGAAAUUGGAUCUGAACUCAUAAAACUCCCUGCCUGAAACGGCCAGUUCUUCUCCCAGAGUUUUUUAAGGAGAUUUUCGUGUCCCACACUGAUCUCUCCGCCCGUCACAUGCUCGGUGUCGUCGCCGGACGCGGCCGGGAGUAGGGUUUCAGGCUGGCUUCACCGUCUCCAAGGUUAACCGAAGAGACGGGCUAAAUAUAAUUGAAACCGGCCCAAUUCCCACCUGCCUUUUUAGUGCUGUUUUUAUUUAUUUUUUUAUUUUUUUUUAUCUAAAGAGGCUGCUGGGGGUGAGCACGUGGCAGGCAGCGGCGUGCCCGGGGAGUGCUCCUGCUUUUUCCUUCGUGUUGAGCUGGUGGCAAACGCAACGGGGGCGCGAUAAUUUGGAGCAGGUUGGAGGCAGGGAGAGGGAAACCACAGCGAGGAAUCGCUUCUCCCAAAGGACACUGAGGUGGCUUCUUGGGGAGGGCUCCCCUGAGGAGACCCCUAAAUGCAUCCCGCUGAGAAAGGAGCAGCACAAAACAACCUGGGAAGCAUUUUGGGGUGCAAAUAGGCUUUUUUGUCUUUUUUUUUUUUCUCCCACAAACGCAGUGCUAUUUACCUCGGAGCUUUGCUCCUGGCACCAAAGGUGGGACCCCGAGGAGCAGCCCUGGGUUUUGUGAGCCCAGCUACCUCUGUGUGGGGCUGCCCCUCGCCUCGCUCCCCCCAGAACCCUGUCUCAGCUCUGGGAGUAGCCCCGAGGUGCCCGGCAUCGCCACCGUAACCAGGCUGGCCGAAAAUGUGCGAUUACCAGGGCGAGCAUCCCUGGGCUGGAGUUUUGCAGGCUUUUUUUUUUUUAUAUAUAUAGGUUUUGAGUUGUACAGACCAUAAUUCGCGGUUCCGGUUCCUAAAACGCGGGCUGCAGCCGAAAUCCCGCAUUCCAGCUUUUGUUACAACCUUUCCCCCCCCCCCCCUCCUCCUCCAUCCCCCCCCCCCCUCCUCUUCUCCAUUUUAAUCUGAGUACAAAUUGCUGUCAGCACAUCAAGUUCGUGUGCCAGCCGCGCUCGGUACACUGUGUUCUGAGCUCUUCAAAAACAAAAUCGCUGCAGGCACCGGGAGAACAAUAAGUCAGCGCGGCAGCCGAAGGGAUGUGCGGCGGCCCAGCGGGGGCUUUUCUCCCCGUAAUCCAAGAGCAGCCGGAGCCAGCUGACCUGCUGCACACAGCGCCCAAACGCUCCUGGAAACCAACGCGGAGAUCUCCCCGUUGCUUUCCGUGUGAUUAAAAUGGAAGGAAAGCUUUUUUUUUUUCUUUUUUUUUCUUUUUUUUUUUUCUCCCCUCCGAGCACGGGCUGGGAGCUCGCAUCCUCCCGGGCAGCCUGGUGUAAGCGGGCUCGUGGGGGUGCUGCCGCGUCCCGCUGGUGAUGGGGUGACCCUGGGGAGAUGUGGGUGGGCGCUGGUUUUGGGGCCAGGCGGUGGGCACGGCUCAGGCUGGGUUGUGCUCACCGGGAAAAAGGCACCUGGAUGGCAGGGGGGUGGCGUGGUGCCGCGGGGAUGCCUGUUUUGGGCUGGAUAUCCCGUUUUUUUGCACCUAAGGAGAUGAAGCAGGGGUUAGUCCCAGAGGUGGGGUUGCUGGAGGGUUUUCCCGGUGGCAGGUUGCUGAAAGUCGUGGCUGUGCUCCUUGUCCUGAGCUGGCUGAGAGCGCGCAGCCUGUGUGUCCCCUCGCUGCUGUGCACCCCUGAGGGAUGCAGGAUGCGUCCUGGCAUGGAGCGAGCAUCCUCUGCCACCCCUGUGCCGUGCCGUGCCGGGAGCCUGGCGUUACGCAGGCAGGUUGCAGAGGACAGGAUCCUCGGGUGAUGUUAUGGGGUGGCCCUGCAGGCACAUUUAAUACCCGAGUGCUGGAACUGCUUGUGUUCAUGCUGGUGCUGGUGCUCACCUCCCCGUGACAUCCAGAGCCAGGUAGCUCAGGAUCCGUCCCGCAGCCACCAGAUCACCUUUGGGUCCCUCGGUGGCUCGCCCUUUGCCGUUUGGGGCAUUCCCUGCAAGAGGUUUAAGGGAAACUCGUUCCUUGAUCUGCAGCACCGUGCUUGAAGGGCAGAGGCAUCACCAAACGCUGCACCACCAAGGUGCAGGAUGGAGAGCAGACCAUCGCCAGCUGGGCACAGGGUUUUUUGCUUUCCAAGGGUCUCUCCCCAUUUUGCCAGCAUUUAUAUGGGCACGAGAAACUCUUCCUGCUUCAGCUCUGCAGCGUGCAAAUUUGCUCGUGGCUGUACGGUGUGGCUCUUUCCCACCCUGGGGGCUGCCAACACCAGCCCAAAUGGUUGCAGAUUUUUAAGCGUUUCUGACAGCGUUACUGCCUGCUGUGAUUUCUCUCCUCUUAGAAGCUUUUUUUUGGGGGUUUUCUGUGGUAGGUAGGAGUUUCUUAUGAAAUCCCUUUUACUUUACAUUUGCUUGCACGCUCGCGUGCACUUGGGAGGGCAAAGAACACGCGGUGCCCCCCCAGGCGUGCACCGUCCUGGGGAUCAAAUCAGUAAAGAACAAUCUCGCCGUGGAAAUCACGCCAGGAGCACCAGGUGGCGAAUGUGCCAGGUACCCGCUGUCCGCUCCGCCUGCGCCUCUGCCAGCUCCCCGGGCUGGAACAGCGCGGCCAUUGGUUGAAGAUUAAAAAAAAAAAAAAAA
Non-coding RNA from Anas platyrhynchos (mallard), 3432 nucleotides. The record is from RefSeq and is a predicted model, not a curated record. Lineage: Eukaryota; Metazoa; Chordata; Aves; Anseriformes; Anatidae.